GCACAUCUUUGUUUGACCAAGCAGCAGGCAUCUUCUCCUCAUUAAACCGAUUCAUGAAAGUCAUUUCAAGAUAGACAUGGUCUUUCACCUUUUCAGGAGCUACUGUUUAGUUAUAUUUGUCUACCCUGUCCUUAAAAUACCUUGCAGUCUAGUUAUCCUUAAAUGUCAUUUCAAGAUAGAUCUGGUUUGCCUGUUCAAAUAGCAAUCUAUGAUGGAAAAUAGAUGUUUUUUCUGCUUCAGCUUUUGGUGAAUUACAUGAAACCUAUUAACUCUUGAUCUGCAGUAAGCAAACUUUAGUCACUCCUGUAUAUAAGAAAAAUGGCACUCUAGUGUUUCAGACAGCGUUCCUUGAUGGCAAACUGCUCGUUUUCUGAUGGCAUUUCAGAAGCCUGUAAGAAACUAGGCAGCCAUUAGAUGUGUAAAAUUGUAAAUUCUGCUCGCUAACUUAGACGUCCUCGCGCUACAUUCUUUGCCAAAUGACAAGCAUGAGUUGUUAUAGCACUUCUAAGUAAUUUCCAAACAGCCGUGGUGCAGAUGAUCAAAACCAAUCUACAUGUUUGGUGGAGACCUUCGGCUGUUGCUUGGGCUUUCGGUACCGAUUGUUUUCAAAUUUGGCCUUCACAAUGAGAGAAUAAAGCAAGUCUGCCUCUGCUGAAGUAUCAUAUGGUGCACCAAUGAUGCUGCAAGACGAAGCAUGUUUGCAAGUGAUUGGUAUAAGUAAAGAGCAUAUGAAAAAAAUGAACUAAUAGUGAAGCAAAGAUCAUUGCACUUUCUUACAACUCAAUUCUAGUGAUGACUGAUAGGGUCUUCAUUCAGAUGAAUCAGUUUAUAAAGUUCUAUGGAGCCAAAGCAAGCAAAAAGGGAAGUAGCAUAUGUUAGCUAUAUAAAAAAAAACAGAUUCGAUGCACCUAUCAAGUAGCUCUUCCAGAAUGAUUCGCUGAGAAGGUGUAACAAAGUAAAUACAACUCAUGGGGCACUGGCCAACUGCACUCUGCACUUGAUAAUCUUUGCCAUGUCCUAGGCAAAAGUAAAGUCAGAUUCCAAACCCAACAAUCAAUAAGGAAGAAGUAUUGAAAUAUUUGUGAGGGAACUACAUGAAUGGAACUUCUUAAGAAAUCUAGAAAGCAAGGAUAUGCUGGAAAUUAACAUUUGCCAAUAUUCUACACGUAAGAUUAGCCAACUGCUUACAAAAUAUGAAAGCUAGUAGAGGAUGAGGUACCUUGAGAAGUUGCACGAGCAGUUCCUGUUAAAGAAGAAAACUCAAAUGCAUGAGGUGCUCUCUUAACACAUGAAUAUGGACAGCCUGCAGAAAAUCAUAGAACAGAACCUCAGCACAAAAAAGCAGAUUUUAUGGUGUAUAAGCUCAGGUUCAACAAUGUCAGGUACUGCAGUGUGAUUUUUAAUCUGGCAGAACAUAUUGCUGCAAGUAGAUUAAGACAGCUUGAGACAUAACCUAUCGGAAAAAGAAUAUUGACAACUUCACUCGAUACCCCUUAUUCAUCAGAAAAAUAAACUAUCUGCAAAUUAACAUAUCAAAGAUGAAAAAUUUUCUACUGCAACUUUUCUCUGCUAGUGAUGCAUCUGCGCUGCGUAAGUUCCCAUGAAUGAUUCUUCUGUGAUCAAUUAAAUUUCUUACUUUUAAUCCUUGCCCCUUUCCACAUGAGAGACAGAUCCCUUUCAAAUUCCCAAAUCAAGUCUUCCAAGGUGGGUAUGACAUAUUCCACAUCAGGUCAUGAGCCUUCCUCUUCCAAGAAACAACUCACUACCAAUGAGUUGAGAUCGUAGAGGACAGCCAGCUUAUCGUCACAUGAGUAUCCAAUGAGUUUCACUCAAUUCUUGUGUGAUGUCAAUGCUUCCUUCAUUAGCAAUACGAUUUCAUCAUGUACUCUAGCUGGAUGCCCUUUCCAGCUUACUUUGAAAAAAUGAAAAAACAUCCCAUGUCUUUAGGGUCACCUCUUUUAUUUCUGUAUCUUGCUGAAUCCUUGCCCUGAACAAUCUCCCAAACCAGGUUUUUUGAAUAUUGUUGUCCUUACUCAAACUUUCUGUCAUUUCCUUUUAACUCAGAAUGGCUAUAGUGUUUCACAUCGUCCAAAUCCAUUCCACAAAUCGGCUCAGUACCAAAAAAUUCAUGUCUAUGUUUCUCCAAUCGUCAAAAGGCCUCGAUAAUUUAGGAUCAGGAUGAAUACUAUGACAGAAUAAUAUGUUAGGACUGACUCAAGAAUAAACAAACUAAAGUUAGACCAAAAUAGGCGGUAUAACCAACCAUAUAAAGAUUAGGCGGUAGACAUCAGCCAUAUAAUAAUUAGGCGGUAAAAUCGAUCAUAUAAAAAAAAGGGUUGUGACAACCCAAUGAAGACAAAUAACAAAAAAUAAAAGACACCAAAAUUUACGUGGUUCGGUCAAAUUGACCUACGUCCACGGACGAGGGAGGAGCAAUAUUUCUACUACAAAGAAGAAAUACAAAAACCAUAGGAAAGUGGUUCUUAGGCCAAAAUGGCACUUACAAAAGGUUUAGGAAAUAUUUCUAAACUCAAAACAAGAGAGCCUAAAAUAUUUGACUAUAAAUGGGCUAGAUGACUCAAGAAACUAAUAGCCCAUAUAACUCUCUUGAGUGGUGCAAUUGAUUCCUUCAUAAACCCCUUCUAUUUAUAGGCUCUCCAACGAAGCCUUCCUGCUGUCUGCUGCGAUGUGGGACGAAAGAAUUAUGCCACAGUCAAACAUUGCGACCGUUGGAAAAAUCAACAAAUCUCCACCUUGGCAUAAUUUCUAGUCCUACCAUCGACAAUAGUAAAAUUGCUCCACCUUAUCCACAUAAGCCCUAAUGGGCCAAAUCACACACAAUGAACACCAAUCAAAUCCAAGCACUGCUUGAACUUGUAAACUGGAAGAGGUUUCGUAAACAUGUUAGCAAGAUUCUCCUUAGUAUUAAUCUUUCGAACAAGGACUUUCUCUUCAGCAAUGAUAUCCCGGAUAAAGUGAUAUUUCACAUCAAUAUGUUUCGUCCUCUCAUGAUACAUCUGAUCUUUAGUCAAGUGUAUGACACUUUGACUAUCACAGUGAAUAACAGUAACACCUUGAUGUAGACUAAGCUCGCUAAACAAACUCUUCAACCACAAGGCUUCUUUGAUUGCCUCGGUCACAGCCAUAUAUUCUACUUAUGUAGUAGACAAAGCUACGACAGGUUGUAGAGUAACUUUCCAACUAACAGCACAACCGCCAAUGCAAAAUACAUAGCGUGAAAGUGAUCUUCUCCUGUCAAGAUCCCCAGCGUAGUUUGAGUCUACAAAACCAACCAAAGUAUUAUUAUUUCUUCCAAACUCCAAACUUGCAUUUGAAGUAUCUCGCAAGUAUCUGAGAAUCCACUUCACAGCUUGCCAAUGUGCUUUACCAGGGCACAUUGGCAGGCUAUUUGUUGAUUUUUCCAACGGCCGCAAUGUUUGACUGUGGCAUAAUUCUUUCGUCCCAUAUCGCAGCAAACAGCAGGAAGGCUUCGUUGGAGAGCCUAUAAAUAGAAGGGGUUUAUGAAGGAAUCAAUUGCACCACUCAAGAGAGUUAUAUGGGCUAUUAGUUUCUUGAGUCAUCUAGUCCAUUUAUAGUCAAAUAUUUUAGGCUCUCUUGUUUUGAGUUUAGGAAUAUUUCCUAAACCUUUUGUAAGUGCCAUUUUGGCUUAGAAACCACUUUCCUAUGGCUUUUGUAUUUCUUCUUCAUAGUAGAAAUAUUGCUCCUCCCUCGUCCGUGGACGUAGGUCAAUUUGACCAAACCACGUAAAUUUUGGUAUCUUUUAUUUUUUGUUAUUUGUCUUCAUUGGGUUGCCACAACUCUUUUUUUUAUAUGGUCGGUUUUACCGCCUAAUUAUUAUAUGGCUGGUGUCUACCGCCUAAUCUUUAUAUGAUCGGUUAUACCGCCUAUUUUGAUCUAACUUUAGUUUGUUUAUUCUUGGGUCAGUCCUAACAUAAUAUAAGGCCAAGUUUCAGGAAGGAUUCCUGGGAGAGUUUAAUGCAUUUUCCCAUUUAUAUAGAUAGCACAUAUAUACAUAAGGCAUAUUUCUUAAUUGGCUCAGAAAGGUUGAUCUCUUGCAAUCUAUUUGCUGUUGCUGUUCCGGAAAAUUUGAAUGUUUUCCAAAUUCAUGUUUGAGUGCUCGACAGGAUGAAAGUCCUCAAAAAAGAUGGAUUGCAGGAGUAAAGUUUGCUGAAUGCAGAAUCAAACAUAGUAUCCUGAUCCUAGGGCCCGUUUGGAACCUUGAGUUUUUUGGGAGUUUGUCUAAAACUUUACUGUAGUGCACUGUAGAAGUUUUUGAAAAAAUUUUGUAGAAGUUUUUGUAAGGUGAAAAACUUUUUUUUUCUCUUUCCCUUUCUUUUUCUUUUUCUUUUUCUUUUUCUUUCUUUCCUUUUUCUUUUCUUUCCUCUCUUUUUCUUCUUCUUCUUCUUCUCCUUCUUCUUCCCCGUUACCUCCGCCACCCCCAGCAGCAACUCCACCUCCCGUCGCCCCCCUCUGCCCCGCCUUUCCCCUCCCCCCGCCACCCCCUUCUGCCCCCUCUGCCCGCCACCCCCCUCUGCCCCCCCUUCCCUCUCUCCCCCCACCCUCCUCUGCCCGCCCCCCCCGCCCCUCUCUGCCCCGCCUUCCCCUCUCUCCCGCUGGCCCCCCUCUGCGCCAGCCCCCUCUGCCCCUUCCCCCUCCCCCGCCUUCCCUCUCUCCCCCGCCGUCCCCCUCUGCGUCGCCCCCCUCUGCCCCUCGCCGCCCCCCUCUGCGCCACUCCCCUUUGCGCCGGACGUAGAGAGAAAAAAAAAAGACAAGAGAGGAUGAUGGCAGGGGAGGAAGAGGGGGAGAGGGAAAAAAAGGGGGGAAAAAAAAGACCGGCACCGGAAAUUGGUGACAGAGUCGGCAAUGGAGGUGGUGGUGGGAGAGGAAGAAGUAGAAAAUGGGAAGGGAAUUUUUUUUUGUUGUGUUUUGGAUAUUUUAAGUGUGUAGGUUAAAAAUUUUGAUAAGUUUUUUGGGGUUCCUGUAGCAAAAGUUGUUAAAAAACUAGUUUUAUACAAAUUUGGUAAAAAACCAAGCUUCCAAACAGGGCCCUAGUUUUCGAGUUUACAAAUAAUACAAUCGAAGAUGAAAUGAAAAUGAUAGGAAAUAAAAGAAGAGAAGAGAUCUUUUUUAAUCGGUAUCCUACUUUCUAGUUGGGUGUUCAAGAGAGAAAUAUGAUGAUUUUUGGACUUGCAGCUAACAGAUAAUUUUCUCUACUACAAGUUUUUCUAGGAAAAGCUAGCAUCACAAGAAUUUUUGUAGGCAAAGCAGACAUUUCUCCCCACCUUGUUAUUGGAAAUUUUUUUUUUCAGUGUAAUUUGCACACCAAAACAAAAUAUGUUUAUCCAAGAAAAGGUCCAAGAUACCUAUUCUUAACACCAGGAGUUUCUUAAUCUGUGCUAAAUGUUAUUGGCCAGUCAGAUUUUCACGACUUUGGGGAUCAAGGUUGGAUCAAAAAGUUGUCUUUCCAAAGUUCUGGGCAAUUAAAACGAGGGCAUAAUAUACUUCAACCAACAGUUCAUGGGUCUAAGUUAAACAUAUACUUAACUCAGUUAUAGGAAUUUUCCUAUUUCAGGCAGUCUGCAGUCUGCACCAAUGUUCUUGGAUGAAGUACAUAGUUUCUUUCACUGAAAUUCAGUUCUAGGUAGCUAAUGGACCCUAUUUCUAACAUUUCUGAAGAUGUGAAGAAAACGGUACCUUUUCCAACACAAAGAACCUCAUUAACAAAUACAUCAAAUGCUUCACAUUCUGGUUCAUCGAAUGGGUCCAUACAUUCCCUACAGAUGAUGCAAUUACCAACCAGUGAAUACUUUUCCAUACAUGUAUUACAACUACCAAAGAUUCUGAAAAUACUAUGUACUUAGAUUACCUCUCAAUAAUUUCUGACCUGCUGCAGUUCGAUAAUAUCUGGUCAAAUAUAGAAAAAGAGCAGUCAGAUGUCUCAUGCCAACAAAUGCUAACAUUUGGUACAAGAUUUGCUAAGUCGUAGCUUUUGUCUAAGUGUUAUGAAAAUCACAAGUACUUAGCAUUCAGAGAAGCGUAAUUCAAGGUAUUAAAACAACUAGUUGUACCUCAUAUGCUUUAAUUACACGACGAAUCAUCAUAUCUGAGCUUCCCUUAUCUUGUCUGACAUCAGGAUGAUACUCUUUAACCUGUGUCCACAAAAGCCAGUAUCAUCGACAUAAUCAAACUGAUCAAACCACAAGAACCCAUGUUUCUGAAGAACCACAGAAUCCAGAAUGCUGAAAAAAACAUGUCGUGAAUCGAUCAAUUUUAGUCGGAAAACAUGGCAUACUUUGGCGCGAAAAGCAGCCUUGAGUUCGGCUGGAGUACAAUCAGGGGCUAAACCAAGAACAUCAUAAGCCAAAGAAGUGGAUAGAUGUUCAUCAUCUUUACGGUAACAAUUCAAUCUGAAUGAACAAGAAGAAAAUGAAGAAAGAAAAGGAAGUGAAGUUUUCAAGGUUGGAGGGGUAAGAGCAGAUGGAAAUGAGCAGGUGGAGGGAGAAUUACGACGGUUAACAAUAAUAUCCUUAACUGUUUCUUGAAAUUUUGAUAAAUUUCCAACUGCAUUUUGGUUGCAGAAUAAUGAACUUUCCAUUGGCUUUCUUGUACAGAAUUUGGUUAUGUCAAUUACUCACGCGGUCUAGUAUAUGGAUCAAUUUGCAGUUUAUGUUAGUAGAAGGUAAUUUUGGUUCAGAAAAGUAGCUGAACUGUUAUUGUGUGUUUCAAACUAUGGCCAUGUCAUUCUUGUCUUGAUGAUAUUUUGUGGACCCCAUUGCCUUUCAAUGGAAUAUCCUAUUUAAAAGGAUCGAAUGUUAUCUCCAAUAUUUCUUUUUAAGAUCUCUUCCUUUUUCUUUUGUCAUUUUCUUGGCAGACUGAAACUCAUUGCUACGAAAUACCAAAUUAGUAAACACAAGUUGGUUCAGUUGACAAGAACAAAUCACUUUUUUCACAAAAAAUCGUGCGUUCAAAUCUCACUGAUGUGAGGGCAGUGUUGGUAGGCGAUCUGUAAGAACCUCUGUAAGUAACCUAUGGUUUCGAAUGCAUGCUCUUACCUAUAGUAGUAAUCGAAACCGGGCUCAUCCAAAAAAUUUUUCAUAAAAAAAAACAAAUUACCAAAUUACCAACGAGGCAAGACAUUAAGAAAAUAAAGCAUUGCAUGAUUUAAUGUCAAGUAGAUGUGUCAAAAUGGGUGACUUAGACGGAUUUGGAUUGGUUAAAAUGGGUAAUGGAUAUAAGCGAGUCAACACAUUUAUACCCGUUUAAUUAGAUAGAUAUAAAUGAGUAAGUCAAAAAAUGAAUUGGGUAAUUCAAUUACUCACUUAUAACCCAUUUGUUUUAACUUUUUAUAAACUUAUUUAAAUUCAUUUUUGCAAACUAAAUUAUCAAUUUAUACCACCUAGGGGUGGGUAAAAUUAUUUGCUAACCGAAAAAUCCGUCAUAUCCGAUCCGAAAAUUAGGAUAUCCAAUUUUUAUUAUUUGAUUGGGUCAAAAGAGGGUCGGGUACCCGUUAAGAUGCGGGGCGGGUUAGGAUAACAUAAUUAAAAACCCGCGGGUACCCGAUCCGCCCCGCAUAUAUAUAUUUUUUAGUUUUAUUUUUAUACACAUACUAUAAAAUAAUAAUUUAGAACUAAAUAAGUAAUUUUAUUGAACAAAUUGUAUUACAAAUAUGAGAGACUAUAGUUUAUUUACAAGAUUCAUUUGUAGAGGUCAUUAACUUAUAUUUUAUAAAAAAAAGUUUAAUUAAUGUGAAACAUAUAUACUAAAAAUUGUGCUACUUAUUUCAAAUUUUUAUUGAUUUUGAAUUCUUUUAAUUUUUUUCCUUUAUCUUAUAUUCUCUUCACAUGCUUGUUUCUGGGUGGAAAACCUUUUUUUAGAAAAAAAUUUAUUAAAUCUUAGAUGAAUGUGUAAAAUAUAAAAUUGAAUUGGUAUAAAUCAUUUUUUUAAAAAAAUUAAAUGAUAAAUGGGGCGGGACGGGUACCCGCUGACCCGACCCUAUCUCAGCGGGUACCCUAUAAUCGGAUACCCGCUGAUAUGCGGGGCGGGUAAGGGUCAGAAAAUGACUGACCCGCAAGAUACGGGUCGGGUUAGCUAAAUGGUGAAUGGGACGGGUACCCAACCCGUACCCACCCCUAAAUUACCACCAUUUGCACCCACCAUUAGUUUUAAAUAUUUACUUAUAAUGCUCAAUAAGCUUAAUUACCAAUUUUUUUUCCAUUCGUACUCUAUAUUGCAAAAUUACAUACUAUUUAAUAAUUAAACAAUAAGAAUAUAAAAAUUUGAACUAAGUACUAUAAAAAUUAACAUAAAAAAUUAAUCCAAAAUUUGAAUCCCUAACAUUUUUUCAUGUGUAAAUUUAAAUUUUUAUUUUGAAAAAGGUAGGGAAAAAAGCUAAAAGUUGUCAUAAAUUGGUAAUGCUAAAAAAUGAGCAAGUUAACAAACUAAGAGAAAAUAAAAUGAUAAGAUAAAACCAAUAAAUAAUAAUAAUAAUAAUGAAACAAAAGUAGUUAACAUAAUGACAAAAUGAAAAUUUUGAAAAAAAAAAGGUGAGGAAAGAGAGGAAGUUUGGGGAAAAAUAAUUCUAAAUGGGUUAAUUGAAUUUGAUGGGUUAUCCAAUAAUACCCAUUUAAUAAUAUUGGGUAUUAUUGGGUAAUUUAUUUAUACACAUAUACAAAAACUUAAGAUACCCAUACGGGUAUGGGUAAAUUUAGUUAAAUGAGUUUGUUUGACACCUAUAAUGUCAAGUUGUUUUGUGGACUGUAACUGAUACAAGCAAUCGUAUGCUUCCACAUGUGGUAAAUUGAAAGGAAUUCCACCUAAUUAAUCCUACCUGAAUUGUAAGACUGGACUUUGGAAUUGGACUGCAAAGUGGAGGGAAUAUCCAAAGAUUUAAUUGAAAAGAGAAACUUUUGAUUUUAGCCGUUAGAUACCGCAAGUUGUGAAAAGGGUGGGGGGGGGGGGGGGGGGGGAAGUAAAACAAGAAAAGCAUGAAGAAUAUUUAACCAUAGGGAGCAUACCAAGAAUUUGUCCUCGAAAUAAUAAUAAUGUAUAAAGCGAGAAAAUUACUAUUAACCCCAAGUCGAGGUCAUGUGAAUAAACACCCAUUGAACCAAAAGUUUCAUACUUAAUGAAAGAGCUAUUAAUCAAGAUAUGUUAGAUAAAUAAGAUUGGAGCAAAGGGUUAUCGUGGUUUGGUUUGGAAUUAAGAACUAAUUAGAAUCUACUGACCAAGAAUCGAUGAACUAGAAUAAAAACCACAAAAUAGAACUAAAAUCGGAACCGAGAAAGUUAGUAAUCGUAGAUAAAGAUUUGUAGUUUCGAUUCUUAGGAAAAAGAAUCAGAACUAAAACCGCACGAUUCGAUUUUGGUUAGAACUAUUAUUUAAAAAUUCAAAAUGAUAGGGUUACUUGGGACAUUGAGAAGAAGUAUUUGAGAUUUUUUUUUCAUAAUUCAUUUUAAUUUCAAUGAGAAAAUCAUAUGCCUUUUCUUUUAUUUAAAAUUUUCAGUAAAAUUCAAUAAUGUGAUGGUUUUUUUUAUUAUAAAAUGUACAUCACAUUUUCAUGAUGGAUAAUAUAUAAAUCAAAAUCUUAAUUCUCUUCUAUAUUUAUUUGUCUUCAGUUUUAUCUUUAUUCAAAUUCAUUGUUGUAUUAAUUUAGCAUCAAUUUUAGAAUGGUAUGCAACUAAGGUCCUGUUUAAUAAUUCAAUUCAGCACUUAAAUUUAAUGGAUUCAGAUCUUAACACAUUCAAACCGUUUGAUAAUAAAAAAUUGAACAUUUGAAUUAAUUAGGUAGUACUGAAUUUUUUAGACAAAAUUUGUUUCCAAAAUUAAGUAAUAAGUUAUUCACUCAUCACUGAAUGUGAUAUACGCUCAAAUGUAUUAUAUUUAAUACUUAAUAAUUUAGCAUCAAUUUUUUUUAAUAACCAAAAUCAAUGAUCACAGAACUAUAAUCGGAUAGUUUUAGAACCGUGGAAGGGAUAAAAACACCCUCGCGUCAAGUAGUAAUUAUUUUGCUAGGGCCCAAUCCUAUGAGUUAAUGCGUUACCGCUUACCAUUCAAUGCCUUGCUUGCUUCACCACAGUAGUAUUACCAAACAUGUGCAAAUUGUAAAUUUGUAACAAUGAACCAAGCAAUAGAGAUCUUUUAUAAAAAAAAAAAAAAAAAAAAAAACCAAUAGAGAAAGCUAAAAUUGCAAGCGAAGUAUUUAGAUAACAACAUAAAAUUGGUACUAGUAAUCUGGUCACGUCAGUUGAAGGCAUCCAUCCCAUCCCUUCCCCAGGAAAAAUACAAAAGCUCAUUGGAUUGGGUCUAUUCGAGUUUUCUGAUUCUUUGCCCCUUUUUUUUAAUACCCCUUCAGCAUCCAGCCAUCGAUUAAUUUUAUUUACGUCUUCCCCCAAAGACAAAAGAGAAUACUAGUACGUAAAUCAUCAUCAAUACAUUAGAAGUGUUAAAAACCUCAUGCAACAGCAGUUUGAGAUUCUCAAAAUCUCGUAAAUUCAAGCCCAGAAAUGAGAAAAUAAACAAAAAAGUUUGAGUUUUUCUUGCUUUUCUAUCUGGCCCUUGCAUUCUCCGUCUGCGAAACUCUUGUUUUGCUUGCAAUGACGAGUCAGUAGCAGAGAGGGAAAACGGGAUAAAAGAAAGGGCGGAAGGAAUUGAGGAAGCCCUUUUUAGCAAGACCCCUUUUGAAUUUUGGUUAAUAAACAUGGGAGGUAUGGUUUAUUGAUUUUGACUUGUAGUUUUUUGGCUGUUUGUUCGUGGAUUUUUGUGUUGUUUUUGGUGUUUUGGCAAUUGGGUUUUGCUUGUUUUUGAUUGAUUCAAUUUGAACUUCUGUUAAUUUUGGAUUUUUGGCUUUUCUUUUGUGUUCUUUAUGAUGGAGGAAAGUCAUGUGCAUGACGCCUAAUUGUGUGCUCAUAUACAUUGCAAUGACAUUUUAUUUCUCGCUAAUUCUGGUAAAGAUUUCUGGGUUUUUAAGUUUUAAUAGUGCUGUCUGUGAUCAUCUGAAAUGUUUUCAGAUUUGUUUUUCGGCUUUCUCUUAGCUUCAUGCUUUAGAUCUUGUAAUUUUACAGGUGCAGAAUAUAUAGAUGCAAUUCUGCUCGUUUAGUGAUUCUUCAUAUGUUACCAUUAUGAGAAUUUUGGGCAAUUUUGGUCAAGUUUGUUAAGUUUGGAUUGAACUUGGUCUGGACAAAUGGAGAAAAUUUUGCUAGAGCCAUGUCAAAUUUGCAUAUGUAAAAAUAAAAUGGAAUCUUCUUUCGGUGCAAAAUUUUUCCUUUCACAAAUCCUUCAUGCUUUAGGAGUUUCACUCGUGUGAUUUGUACGUUCUAGCUUAUCAUAUCAGAGUUUGUAAGAGAAGAUGGAUACUUUGUUUCUAGCCUUGGUUGUACAAGGUUUUGCUUCUGCUGAUAUUGUAGCUAUAUCAGUUUUCUCCUGUAUAGGCUUGUUGCAAGCUCAUUUUGGGAUUUUAGUGGUCUACAACUGCCUAAUAAGUAGCCAGAGGGGCCUCAAAUUAUGGCAGUGGUUUCAUGUUUUUGGGUUCUCAUAGUAGUCUGGAUGUCAUGGAAAUGGUGACUCCUGAAGAACAUUUGAGCUCUUUAACCAUUGUCAUCAAAGCUGAUGAUAUUUUGAAUUUUCUGAUGGUUUGCUUCUUCUUUUGAUGUUCUGGAACCUGUAAAGAGCACUCUGAAGAUGAUAAAGUUAUUCCAGAAAUGAACAAGAAGAGAAUAGUCAAAACACGUGCUCAGGUGGAAGCUUUAGAGAAAUUGUAUGAUGGUAUAAUAACUUUUUUGGACUUUUCAUUUUAUGGUAUUUGUUUUUGUCUUAUUAUCUUCACUUGCAUGUGUAACGAGAGCGAACUGUUACUUUUUCCAGAGCACAAAUAUCCUACAGAGGCAUUGAAAGAAGAAUUUGCUAAGUCAGUAGGAUUGACGGAAAAGCAGGUUUCUGGGUGGUUUUGCCACAGAAGGUUGAAAGAUAAGAGAUUAGCGAAUCCUGAAGCAUAUGCAAAUGGAAGACAAGAUCGUUCAAGCAGUAUCUUACAAGAUCGUGGGAGUGGACUUAGGCAGGACUCUUGUGGCAGCACUAAACAAGGGGAUGAUAGGAAUUACGAUCCAAGAGAAGUUGAAAGUAGAAGAUUAGUUGGCCAAGAGUAUUCUGCUGCAGAUCUCACUUAUGAGCUUGGUAGCCAUUAUACGGGGAAUCAUGGUUCAGCUGAUGAUACAUCAUCUGGAAGUAGCUCUUCUUUAAGGAAUAUGUCCUUUCCUCAAGAUAGGGAUCGUUUUGCUUUGGCAAAUUCAAGAUACCAAGCACAGAGUUUGCCGAUGGAGAUAAAGGAGGUAAAACCAAGAAGUGGCCCAUCAGGAUAUUUAAAAGUGAAGGGUCAGGUUGAGAAUGCUGCUAUUACUGCAGUUAAGAGGCAGCUGGGGAGACAUUACCGGGCUGAUGGUCCACCACUUGGUGUUGAAUUUGAUCCACUGCCCCCUGGAGCAUUUGAGUCUUCAAUUCAGGAGCCACCCAAUGGUGAGUUAGAUGAACAUCAUUUUUUUUGUUUGCUUCAAUAGUGUUAACCUAUUUUUUUUGAACAAUUGGGAAAGUUUGUAUGGUCUUAUUUGGUGAACAGUUCAGGCUGUACGUGCUUUAGGUGUUGUUAUCAAAAUGCCAUUAAUCAAAUUUAAAUAUUAAUUUUUGCUUAUGCAUCCAACUCAAAGCUAAGGCUUACAGCUUGCGUGGUUUUGCAUUUUUACCAUUUCAUAGUAAAGAUAGCGAUGAACUAGGAUCUGUGAACAUGGAUUGAUUGGUGAAUCAUGGACUUCUUUUUGGCAUGACGUGUCAUGAACUUUCUUCUCCUUUUGUGGAGAGAAUUGAUGCUGUCCUUUUGUGUAUUUGGGUGAAAGUGAAGUCAUGUAAAAGCCAAUGGAAACAAGAAAUAAUUCUGUUCUAGACCUCUGGAUUCAUUGUCAUCUAGUAUGGAAAAAGUAUUGUACCUCAAGUCCAACAUUUAUAUUCUGCUUCCCUUUUUGUCGUCUUGUUAUAAUGUUAUUCCCUCAAAAGAAUAAUAACGACAAAAAGUUGCUUUGCUUCUCCAUAGGUUUUACAUGAAUAAACAUAGCACCUUUGCAUGUUCAUAUGUUUUUCUUAAGUUUAGAUAAACUAUUCUGUCAAACCCCACAUUUUUUUAUAGAUAUCAUUUUUAAGCUAAAUCAUACUAGGACAUCAACUUGUUUUGAUGCAAAGGAAGUUUUUUGUGUCAGGUUUAGAACUAAUUCACUGGCAGCUAAAUUAAAUAUUGAGGUGGCAUGUAUGUUUGUUGACUCAUUUUUCACAUGUUUUAAAAAUAUUUAGAGCAUUUAGAGCAUUUGAUAUUUUUGAACACAUUGAGUUACGAUUUAUGAUUGCUUGAACUAACUUAAGUUCUGGGACUACCAAAUGCCACUAGGAGAUAUGGAUGAGCUCCUGUUGAAUGUGCCACUUACGAUGUUUAUAUAUCUUUGCUUGGUAGGCCAACUUUUUCUUAUUUAACUAUAUAGAACACAACCUUUCACACCUAUCUCUUAGUGCUAGAUAAGUACUGAAUUUUCACUCUUAUUCAAUUCUGGAUAUUAAUUGUCUAAUAACCUCUUGUAUAAGAAUUUUUCUUUGAGAUCUUUUUUUACACUCAGGAUUUAGCAUAUUGUCAGUUUUCAGACAAUGGAUUUGAUACGAUGAAACUGUCCAAUUAUUUUUCUCUUGAAGUGUGCUGAUAAGGCAUUGUCAGACCAUUCUUCUAUUUCUUCUAAAUUUUUAAUGCUUUCCUGUUCCAUCUUGAGUAAAUGCACACAUCUUUUUGUUAAAUGAAGAAACGGCUUGUUCUGUGGCCUAAAUUUACAUGUGCAUCUUUUGUGCUUGUCACAUGAUUGGUUUUGCUUUUUUUACAGUGAAAUUAUUGGCGGCAAUCUGCAGUCAGAGCCUCAACAAACAAGAAGUGUUAGCCUUGAACUGGCAACACCUGUUUUCAACUAAAUGUUAGCUAGAGCUUUUCAUAAAUGGUUUGCAAAGUUUUUCACUUACAGUAAAUUGUUAGUGUUAAUAGGUCAAAUCAGUUUAAUACUUGAAACAACACACUUGAAUAUGUGAAUCAAAUUCUGGAUUCCUUUCUGUUGGUUUAGUGAAGUUACUUUGACAUUUUCAAUUUCUUUCUGUUUUGGUCUAUAAAUACAUCCGAAUUCUGAUGCUCUGUUGCUGUUGAGUGGAUAGUAUACUUUUUUGGCAAGUAGAUCUCAGUUGCUUGAGCUACUCUUUUUGAAUAUCUGAUUUACAGAUUCUACCAAAAUGACAGAAUCUUAUUAUGCUGAAGAGGCUGUUCUACCCCGCUCACCAGAAAAUUCCAUGGUUCACAAGAAUUCUAAUUUGGGCAGCGUAAGUGGGACUACGAAGAUUUCUUGUUUCUUAAUCUUUUAUGAAGAUUUCUUGUUUCUUAAUCUUUCUUUACAUCAAAAGUUUUACUCCCUUUUGUUGUUUUUUUUUCUUUUUUUUUUUGGGGUGGCGGGGGGGGUGGGGGGGUGGGAGGGAUUAAUAAACUUGCACAAUUUCACCAAUCUGAAUAAUUGACAAAUUAGGCAGCUGCUGUGUUUAAGGAUUGCUCAUGUCCUUGUGGCAAUGAUCACCUGAGUUUACAGCGGUAUUUGAACACCUUUCAGGUGCUUCAUAAUGCAUUCACACAAAUUUGAUUUUUCAUCAGUCAAAUGCAUUGAUGUGAAGAAAGAGUGUCACUUUAUUUAGGUUGCAAUGGAAACUUCUGCAUUGGCUAAUUAGAUUUCAUAUUUAUUGCAUUUAUCCUGAAUUAUUUAUUUGUUAGUGAAAUUUCAUAUGAUGGAUUACUUUGCCAGGCUGUAUGCCGUGAAGGCUGGCUUUUAAGACACUGAAUUUCCAGAACAGUCUGUAAUUUGCUCUCAAGAGCAAUGUAAAUAAAGCCAAACCAGCUUGCUUCUUAACUUAGUUUUACUGAUUGUCCAUUGAGAAGUUGUGAAUGAUUGACAAUUUGUUCUAUUAGUCUUUCUGUUUGUCUUGAGUCUGCUUGAAUUCUUUGUAAGUUCCUAUUAUGCCUUUUUCACCAAUGACAAACUGACAAACAAGGCUCCUUUGAUCACGGGAAUGUGUGUUUACCUACCUACUACUCUAUGCUUGUGUUGCAGUUUGUGUUUUGCAAAAUGUACAAUUUUCGUACUCUAAAUUCCUUCUUAAAUGUUUGUCAAUCUCCAAUUUACAGUUAUCCAAUCACAUAUUACCCAUGACUGAGACUCAGUGAUAUCUUUGAAUACCCUUACAGGGCUCCCAGUACAACCCAAAGGCAAGCUCUCAUGACUCAGACAUGGAGAGAACAAGAUUUAAAAUGGCACAUGGACCUGAUCGUUCUGAAAACUGUUUUCCCCCAAAAUACAAGCAGAAAUCUCCUUUGCACAAGCAUGGUGACUUUUAUGCCGGAAGAAGUUCAUCUAUGGAUAUCCAUGAGGGUUCUGCAAGGAAAACACGUGUUUAUGAUAGCCAGGAUCCUGAUCGAAAGGCUAAGUAUGGUGAUGGAGGGAUGAGUUUGGAUUCUUUUUCUGGACAUCGUCAUUCACGUCUCCACAAUCCAAGAGUUGAUAGCGAUCAUGCAGAUCCUUGGUUGCAGAACUAUAAUGAUAUGAACUCCAAUGUGGCCCCAGCAGAGCACUUUGUCUCUAAGUCAUCAAACUUGGCCUCUAAGGGUGUUGAAUAUGAUGAUUUUACGCAUAAAGGCCUCUCUAAAAGAAUGGCAAAGGUUUAGUUAAUACCCCUUCAUGCUGCAUAUAUCAUUGAUAUUUCCUCCCUUGUGACUCCUUUUACUUUGACAAUGAUGUCUAGGAAGCCAAAAGCUCUGGAGAAAGGUUAACACUAAAUGGUAAUUUUGAUCCAGUUCAACCUAAGAAUGGGCUGACAGUAAGUUGCCUGAUCCAAGCUUUUCCCUACGCAGGUCCUCUCUUUCUUUCUUUCUUUUUUUUUUGACAUGUGGAUUAUUUAUGAUAUUUGCUCGAUAUCUAGUCUGCCAAAAGAGUUGGGAAUGAACUUCCUCAAGAGCAUUACAGCAAGAAAACGUCGUGGAGUGAAGUGCCACCAUGGACAAAUCAGGCUCCAAGGUUUGAACAAUUACUGGAACUUGAAUGGAAGUUAUCUCUUUGGAUUCUUUUGUGUGCAUUGCUCUCUCUUCUUGUGACUUCUGGAAUUUGUUCAAGGUUUAUAUAGCUAUUUCCGGAACUUAGUCUGUAAUUUAUUAGCCUGUCUUUUGAUGAAUAUCUGGGUACUCCACUGAUUGGAGGCAUAUGGGUAUACACAUAAGAGUGUUGACAGAAAAAAAUGAAUGUUUAGUAUGUUAUGUAGCAGGCACAUAGUGUCUGUCUCUGUUUCUCCCUCUCCCUUAUGGGGAUCAACUACUGUAACCAGGACUUGACAUGUGCAGUUCUUCUUCUUUUCUGAAUUUCCAAAGUUUCACCGCUAAAUGUGGCUUUUGUGAUACUUUAUUUAUGACCAAAUGUGCUUUCUUGUCUAGUAUAUUGGUAGCUUCACCUUUAUGCAAAGCUUUAUCUUGCUUACAUCUAUGCAUUCUCUAGGUCCGCUGCAGAAAUGCCAACUAGUUUUAGUGAAGAUGACGAGACUGCAGACACUAGUUCUUCUGUGGAUUGAAAUUUAGAAGGCGGUUAGAGAAAAGUUGUGAAGCAUUUAAUGCUCAUGCGGUGGAAACAAAGCUGCUUCUGUGCUCUGCAACUGUUUUAAGGUUCACAAGAGCUAGAACCCGCAUUAGGAAAGCCAGAAGCAAUGUAGGACCUCUGUGAAUAGAAUGUGAAAAACUUUUUUCAUCUUAAAUUGUGACCAUUCCUUUGCUAAUUUUGCCUCUUAGUUGUUUGUUGUACAUAUUGUUCCUGUAGCAUUUGUUUAGGAAGAACUUUUGGCAAUAUAAUAGCAAUUUUGGUGCUUGAUGUGAACCUUAUUUGCUUAAUUCUUGAUGUUUUUUAGAUCUCCUGCUGUUUCAGAGGUUGAUAUUGUGUAAGUUAACUUAGUCACUUGAUCUACCUGGGAAAACAGAAUUUAAUAUGCGAAGAUGUAAUUUGGAGUGCUAAAUUGAAACAAGCAUUAUUCUGUCAUGGGGCUUACCAUUGCAAUCCCUGAUACUGACAGACCAAGUGAUAUGGCUACAUUAGCAUAUGUGAAUUUUUAGCAUUCAACGUUCUGAAUUGAGAUUUGAGAUCCUAAAAAGUGAAAAUACACCUGUUAGUAAAACAUUGAAAACCAUUUCCCACAUUGUAUCUUCCAAAAUUAUACAAUGCUAUCGGUUUGACCCCUCACGCAGAUUUGAUAAGGAUGUUGUGACACAUUUUUAUGCUCAAGGGAACAAAUUGAGAAAAGGGUGCCCUUUAAAGAAGAUCAAGUUAGACAAGUUUGCAAUAAGUAAAUUGAAGCAAGCUUAUCAAAACAUAAAAUAAAUGAAUGAAAAGCUAAAAUGAAGUUGUUGCUAGUACUUUAUUUCGAGAUGUUUGGGAAUAAAAAUCAAGAGACUAGUAUUCUGAUAUUGCUGUGAAGACAAAUAGAAAGGAUCAGAAGAAAUGAAACCCAAAGAAAAAAGGAAAAGAACUAUUGAAUGGGCUUGUCAAAGUCUGCACAAUCUCUUUCUACAGCCAGUGAUUGUCAGUUUUGAUGCCUACCACGUAAAACCAAUUUCUUUGCAAGUAGAGGUGUCAAAAUGGGUGGUUUGGAUUGAGUAAAAUGGAUAAUGAGUAUAAGUGAAAAGUCGAAAAUUUUCAAUUUAUUUACCGAUUUCGAAUUGAAUUCGGAAGUUCAAAUUCGGUAAUUCGAAAUGGAAUUCGGUAAUUCCGAUUUCGAAUUGGUUGAAAUAGGAUCGAAUUCGAAAAUAUAAAUUUUGAAAUCGGUAAUUCCGAUUUCGAAUUGAAAUUCGUAAUCGAAAUUUAAAAUCGGAAAAUUAAUUUCAAUUUCGAUUUAUAAUAUAUAUUUAUAUAUAAUAUAAUAUUUUUUAAUAAUAUAUUAUAUAUGUAAUGUAUAAUUUAUAUUAUACAACAUAAUAAGUUAAUAACAAUAAUACAUUAAUACUGAUACAUCUAACAUUAACAAUUAACAAAAAUUACAAAACAACCUCCAAAAGACAAAAAAGCAAAAGUGCAAAUUGAUUCUCAAGUCUCUGCCGAGUGCCGCCUCUUCCUCACUCAAGUCUCACCUUCGGACCGGACCUUCCUUCCUCCGCCUCCACCGCUGCCAGUCCUCAGUCAAGAGUCGAGACUUGAGGUACGCCUUCAUCAUCAGCUUUGUUAUAAUGCUUGUUAGGGACUUGGGCACUGUUGCUUAUGAUGGUCUAUCUUACUUCUGUUCUGCAAAUUAUGAAUGUAUCUGGUUUUCCUCUUUCGUCGAGUUGCUGUUUCAUGUGAGUUAGAUCUAUCACAUCUUAUUUGUGAUAGAAAUUGUAUGCAUGGUUGGUGGUUCAAGUCUUUCAGUGAUCUCUUUUGAAAAAUUGUGCGGCAGGCUCGAACUUUCAUUAAAAAAAAAAAAACCAAGUUAGUUUUUGAGUAAAUGAGAGCGAAUGGCCGUAGCUCCCAUUGGUAACUUGAAGCAAUUGUGGACUGCUGGUAGUGAAAACUUGGAGGAUCUGGGAAGUACGAAGUGGAACUUAUCUUAGCAAAAGAAAGCCUAUUCUGCCUUUGGAGGACCUGGGAGUCCAUUUGUAUUAUUUGAUAUUUGUUGCUUUGUAUUUCGACUUUAGACUAGAAUUGGACUGGAUUUGGACUGGAAUUCACUAAUAAGUAUUUGUUGCUUUGUAUUCUCGUAUGAAGCAGACUUGUGAGAAGUCAUUAAAACAAGAAAAAAAAAAAAGGGAAAACAGGUUCUUCAAUUCGGUGAAUUCGGAAAUCACCGAAUUCCGAAUUCAAUUCGGAAUUGAAUUCGAAAUCGGAAUUGUCUAUUUCGAUUUCGAAUUCGAAUUCGGUCGGGAAAAUUCAUGUCAAAAUUUCGAAAAAUGGCCAAUUUAGUACUUCCGAUUUACCGAGCCCUAAUCCAGUGUUUAAUGGCCAAUUUAGUACUUCCAAUUUACCGAGCCCUAAUCCAGUGUUUAAGGUGUGUGAUCAUCUCUUACAAUAGUAGCAUGCUUUGUGUUUGAUGAUUUGCCUCUAAAGGUAGCUUUACCACUGCACUGGUUUAGUUUUCUGAAAAUUUACGUGUCCCAUUGUUAUGGAGUAUUAGAUGAUUUGAGAGAUGUUCUUUAUCUUACUGUUUGGUCCUAAACAAAAAUGAUUUUACUUUUCCCUUUGUGUUUGUAUGCUGAAUAAUCCUUUAAUGUCUUGCAAUGGCUCGAACUAUCUUUAAAUUUCAUUGGAAAUAAUACUUUGAUAGAUCUAGAAACAUUAAUUUCGUCGAUUGUUUUUGACUUUUUCUACAUUGUCAUGUUAGUGACCAUCAUAGUUAGGACCAAAGACCAGUUAAAGAGUAUUUCCCCAGCUUCUACUGUCUUGGUUCUAAUUUUCCACAUGUUAUGGGGCUCAACAAGUAGAAUCUGCACUCAAAUCACGAUUUGUUUGAUAUAAUUUGGUUUCUGCUUAAAUUUUGGUUUUAGGAAUUGGUCAUGCACUGAUUAAUUUCUGGCACAGAUAAGCACUUCUGAGUUCCAUACCUUGGUUCAUUGAAAGGGGAUUGUUCAAUGGACGGAUCUUGGGGGGACAGAGACUUUUAACAUACCUCCGUCUUCAAUUAUUUUGCAGCUUCCUUGUUAUAUUAGUUUCUCUGGUUUUGCACAUGGACAUGGACAUUGCUUUAAUUACCCUACUGCUAUAAUUGUUUGCACAUGAACAUGGUUUCUCAACAUGAUGACAAUUAAGAUCUUCCUUGUUCUAUUAAUUUUAAAAAUGAGAGUUAUAGGGAAUUUUUCAAUAUUUUUUACACAACAAAUUGCGCAUUGGCACCGCCAGAAAAUAUCUAGUACUACUACUCAUAAAUAUAAUUGGAUUGGGACACAGAAGGCUGUGUUGUGUGUGUGUCUAACUCAGUUACUUUAUGCCCAAGUACUUGAAUAAAUUCGCUUGGUAAAGUUAGUAAAUCUAUUGCAUUUCUUAUGCCUUGUUACCUCGAAUUGUAAUGUCUGCUUUUUGAUUCAAUUCACAUUAAUUAGGCCGUCAUACCAAACUACAAUUGUAAAGUGUAUAACCAUCUUAAAAGGUUGAAAUUUUGGAAAAUGUCAAAAAGGAGAGCUUGAAUUGUACUCAAAUCAACCCACUUAAUAUUCGACAGCAACGGAUAUUUUGUCUUCUUCUCUAUUAUACUAUUUGUCUCAUUUUUUAUUAUAUUUUUAUAUUUUUUUCAUAAAUACCGUAUUUUAAUUCUCUUUUGUUUCCCUAAAAUGCAACAAGUAUUGACUCAGUAAUACAUAAAAAGUUUUUUGAGACUGUUGUAUUUAUUUUUUACCCAAUUAAUAGUUAUUAGAUUUUAAGGAAACAAAAGAGAUUAAAAUAUGAUAUUUAUGAAAAAAAAUAGUAAUAUAAUAAAAAAGUGAAACAGAAAGUGACACAAAGAAUGAGAUAGAAGAUCCAUUGUGGUAUUCAAUCCUAACGAUAUUUACACUAGGGCUCACAAUGGGAAGUAAGAAAAUCUGUUUAACAAAAUUCAAUCAAAUAAUUGAAAUCUAGAUAGCUAACUUUAUGAUAAAUUAUUAUUUUUCAAUCUCUAGUUGAUAGGUUUAUGAAUAUGAUGGUAAACUAUAUUAUUUUUGUCACAAAAUUCAAACUUUUUUUUAGAUAUUAUAGAAUGUUCAUUUUUUUCAAUAUUGGAUAUAGUCAUCUAUGAAAUACAAUCUGCAUAAAUUUGACUUAAUUGCCUUAAAUUAAUUUGUAGGACACAACAUGUUAUAUUACUUUUGUUUUAUUUGUUUAUGGUAAUUUAUUUGCAUAUUUAUGUGAGAUUUUGACUUUUUUGUGUUAUCAAAAUACUCCAAUCAUAAUAUGUGAUUAAUGCUAACUUAUAGACAUUUAUUCUAAAAUUUUGCAUUCGUUAACAAUGUAAUUAGCAACAUAACAUAUAAGUUGAAUAAAGCCAAACAAUUCUAAUUUUGUUUUUUCAUAUGAAAUUAAAAAAAAAAUUCUUUCACAAUUUUUCAAACGUAGAAAAAAUAAAAAUAUAUCUUAAACGUUUGUUUGCUCUAGAAAGAGGAAAAAUUGUUUCAAACAUAAACAAAAUAGUUUAUUAUUUAAAAACUACAAUCAAUAAUUAAUUUAGCGACCAAAUAUCCUAGGGUUUGGUGAUUUAGCUAAAAAAAAUCUCUUUUUUAAAUUAUUUUUUAAUUUGUGUCAGCCAACCUACAAAAAAAAAAAAAUUAUGGCCGACGUGGACUUUUAGCAGCACGCGUAGCCUUUCCUUUUACCCUUCUUCACAGUGGAAUCUAUCACUAAUUGUAAAUCGCUGUGGCAGCUUACAUGAGCUUCUUCUCCUUGUGACUUGUCUGGCGACCAAAGAUACCGCUAAUUUUCUUGGCCACCAGAAUCCUCGGUUUCAAUACCGUCACUAGAGAACCCAGGUCUUUUUUUUUUAAUUAAAAAUUAUACUAAAAAAAAAAACUCUGUCUUCUUGUUUUGUAUGUACAUACGCUUCAAUGGGUUAGGUGCUAUUUUUCAUAUUUUUAAUUUGUGUUUUAGAAAUUGACUUCUCUGCUGCUUGUUGUUUU
This 21709-nucleotide long non-coding RNA is filed under the name Coffea arabica (coffee). Its description in RNAcentral is "long non-coding RNA (CARA_LNC001985)". The record is from RNAcentral. Lineage: Eukaryota; Viridiplantae; Streptophyta; Magnoliopsida; Gentianales; Rubiaceae.